This 679-nucleotide long non-coding RNA is filed under the name Monodelphis domestica (gray short-tailed opossum). RNAcentral's name for it is "lncRNA (ENSMODG00000034850.2)". Lineage: Eukaryota; Metazoa; Chordata; Mammalia; Didelphimorphia; Didelphidae. The record is from RNAcentral.
GUCAAGGACAAAGGUAAAACGAGUUGUCAAUAUAGUAAAUAAAUAUUGUAAUAAAUCUGUACUAAGAGCACCCUUCCUAAAGAAGUCAGUGUUUAACAGACACUGCCUUGUUCAUCCUCACAUUUCCUUGUGGUAAUCAGGAAGCAUGCACAGCUGCCACCAUACAGAAAGCAGAUGAAAGCAGGGUGGCUAUAUGGAUUGCAUUAGGAAGACCCUUGUUCAAAUCUUGUUUCUGAUACUGUGUGACCAUGGACAAGAUACUUCGUCAAGCAACUCUCUGUCAUAGAUCAUAAAUUUAGACCUGGAAGGCACGAAAAGAGCCAUCUAAUUUGACCUCCUCAUUUUUUUAUGGAUGAAGAAAACAAGACACAGAAGGCAAAAACAAUUUGUCCAAAGUCUUAGGAAUACUGUGAAUCAAAGCCCUUUGUUUGGGAUGAGAUUCUUAAAUUUACUUUAUUGGUUGCCCAGAAGAACACCUGGAACGACCCAAUGGAGUGGUCAACUUUGUCAGCAUGCUCAGUAUCUGCUACCUCCUAGAAACCAUGCCCUCCUACAGAUAAUACCUCAUUAUAUCAUACCAGUCUGGAGAAAAGAAAAAAAAAUAAAAAAAGGCUCACUAUAUACAGAAGAUGAGCUUCAUCUGCGUUUGAGAGAUGAUCCUUCUCUAUUUGAUGGCUGA